UGAAAUUCCUACGCAGGGAUUUCUUUUGAGUCCACCGACUUAUUUUUCGAAGGAGUGAAAAUGGAGCAGUCGAGUCCGUUCCUAUGCAGAGUUUGGAAAUCGGUGGCAUUGAAGGGUCGCCUAACCGUGCACGCGAUCGGGCUGUAGUAUUGGGUUAGAGUUACGAAGUGCGCGUAACUCCCAAUGAAAUCAGUGGAAUUGCAGAAUUAUGUUUGCAUCCAGGAUCUUGACAAGUUGUAUCUUUUUAGCUGUACCCAUGAGGUUAACUGGAAGGGAACCAGUAAAGUUGAUUGGCAUUAACUUUAGGACUGACAAAUUUAUUCAGAGGAUUUGCGAUUUAAUUUAUGGAAUUCACGGGCACAGGAUAUAGAAUAUCUUUUAAAGGGGUUCUUCUUAAGUUAGCCACCAUAGCUAAACAGUCCAUAGCUGUCAACUUUCAGAUUUGAAAAUAAUUGAUCAGCAGCCUCGAAAAUAUGGGACCAGCAGCCUCACCUGUCCCAGGGACAGUCUACGGGAUAUCGAACAAUCCGGGAUAGCAGUGGGAAACGGCGCUGGAAUAAAGGAAUUUCUCGCAAAAAAAGGGAAGGUUGACAGCUAUGAAACAGUCUUUGUGGUCAGAGGCAAAACUUGAGUGUUGGAACAAAAACAACAGGUGAAAGUUGUCACUUUUUCUUUAAAAAACUUAAAAAAACAUUUUAAACAAAGAUAAACCAACUACAUACAGAGAAUCAUCUAUGAAUACCCUACAGCACUUUGUCAAAGGGUAUAACAAACACAAAUUAAUACAUAUUAGCCACCAUCACUUGAAUGCUUGUCCACAACUUAAAAGUUAUUGUAUCAGCAUCAGUGGUCUGCAGGGUUUAUACAAAAGCAGGAGGGGAGGAG
Molecule: non-coding RNA, 885 nt
Organism: Podarcis lilfordi (Lilford's wall lizard)
Lineage: Eukaryota; Metazoa; Chordata; Lepidosauria; Squamata; Lacertidae
Source: the annotation of a GenBank genome assembly